This 253-nucleotide ribosomal RNA is filed under the name uncultured bacterium. RNAcentral's name for it is "partial 16S ribosomal RNA". It matches the Rfam family "Bacterial small subunit ribosomal RNA", at positions 524 to 776 of the family's 1533-position model. The record is from RNAcentral.
UACAGAGACUGCAAGCGUUAUUCGGAUUCACUGGGCGUAAAGGGUGCGCAGGCGGCCGUGUGUGUUAGGUGUGAAAGCCCGGGGCUUAACCCCGGAAUUGCGCCUAAAACUACACGGCUAGAGUAUUGGAGAGGGUAGCGGAAUUCACGGUGUAGCAGUGAAAUGCGUAGAUAUCGUGAGGAACACCAGAGGCGAAGGCGGCUACCUGGACGAUUACUGACGCUCAGGCACGAAAGCGUGGGGAGCAAAAGGG